GAGAAACCAAUAUACAUGCAUGAUGAAGGAAUCUAAUUAAUUUCGUCGAUCAAAAUAAUAAUUAGGUUUAAUAAUGAACUAUAUCUUCAAUUGACGGAUCUAAGACCCUAAGUUAUUACCAGAUGUUUAUGAGUGAUGCGAGAAGACAGUUAAUAUGAGUGGUGCGAAAGGAGGAAAAGGGCCCUCCACGAGGAUGAGGGGAGAGGGGGUGUGAAAAGACGAGAGUAGGGUGGUGGUGAUGACAAAAAGUAAAACAGAGGGUGAGUGAAUAGAGUGAGUGGUAUAUAGUGAUUGGUAGGGAGCAUCUCCACCAAAACCCGUAAAACGCGCCUCCUCACUCACCAUUUUCGUCGUUUUCACUUCUCACAGGUCUCCAUCUCAUCCCUACCACCAACCUACUAUUAUUGUCUUCUCAUUUCUACUGCCAAAAACAAACUAUUAUUUUUUAUUUUACAUACUUUUUUUUUUUCAUCAUAUAUAC
This 481-nucleotide long non-coding RNA is filed under the name Vigna radiata. Its description in RNAcentral is "long non-coding RNA (VRAD_LNC007513)". Lineage: Eukaryota; Viridiplantae; Streptophyta; Magnoliopsida; Fabales; Fabaceae. The record is from RNAcentral.